Long non-coding RNA from Oncorhynchus keta (chum salmon), 820 nucleotides. RefSeq lists it as uncharacterized. Lineage: Eukaryota; Metazoa; Chordata; Actinopteri; Salmoniformes; Salmonidae. The transcript is spliced from 3 exons. The record is from RefSeq and is a predicted model, not a curated record.
AAGAUAAAGAUAUAUGAAGUAACAGUACAUUCAUAUAAUCACAGAGCUAAUCAUACUGAACUAUAUACCAGUAUAGAGAUGUAAUCAUCCUGAACUACACUACUGGUCAAACAUUUUAGAACACCUACUCAUUCAAAGGUUUUUCUUUAUUUUUUUUACAUUGUAGAAUAAUAGUGAAGAUCAAAACUAUGAAAUAACACAUGGAAUCAUGUAGUAACCAAAAAAAAGUGUUCAACAAAUCAAAAUAUAUUUUAUAUUUGAGAUUAGACAAAUAGCCACCCUUUGCCUUGAUGACAGCUUUGCACAAUCUUGGCAUUGCACACCUUUUUGGUUACGACACAAUUCCAUGUGUUAUUUCAUAGUUUUGAUGUCUUAACUAUUAUUCUACAAUGUAGAAAAUAGUAAAAAUAAAGAAAAACCCGUGUAAUCACACUGCACUACAUGCCCAUGUAGAGGUGUAAUCACACUGCACUACAUGCCCGUGUAGAGGUGUAAUCACACUGCACUACAUGCCCGUGUAGAGGUGUAAUCACACUGCACUACAUGCCCGUGUAGAGGUGUAAUCACACUGCACUACAUGCCCAUGUAGAGGUGUAAUCACACUGCACUACAUGCCCGUAUAGAGGUGUAAUCACACUGCACUACAUGCCCGUGUAAUCACACUGCACUACAUGCCCGUGUAGAGGUGUAAUAUAAAUGCAACAUGUAAAGUGUUGAUACCAUGUUUCAUGAGCUGAAAUAAAACAUCCCCAAAAUGUUCCAUACACAAAAAGCUUAUUUCUCUCCAACUUUAUGCAGAAAUUUGUUUACAUUAAUGUUA